Molecule: ribosomal RNA, 808 nt
Filed under: uncultured bacterium
Lineage: Bacteria
Description: bacterial SSU rRNA
Rfam family: Bacterial small subunit ribosomal RNA
Source: RNAcentral
AGAGUUUGAUCCUGGCUCAGAUUGAACGCUGGCGGCAGGCCUAACACAUGCAAGUCGAGCGGUAGCACAGAGAGCUUGCUCUCGGGUGACGAGCGGCGGACGGGUGAGUAAUGUCUGGGAAACUGCCUGAUGGAGGGGGAUAACUACUGGAAACGGUAGCUAAUACCGCAUAACGUCGCAAGACCAAAGAGGGGGACCUUCGGGCCUCUUGCCAUCAGAUGUGCCCAGAUGGGAUUAGCUAGUAGGUGGGGUAAUGGCUCACCUAGGCGACGAUCCCUAGCUGGUCUGAGAGGAUGACCAGCCACACUGGAACUGAGACACGGUCCAGACUCCUACGGGAGGCAGCAGUGGGGAAUAUUGCACAAUGGGCGCAAGCCUGAUGCAGCCAUGCCGCGUGUAUGAAGAAGGCCUUCGGGUUGUAAAGUACUUUCAGCGAGGAGGAAGGCAUUGUGGUUAAUAACCACAGUGAUUGACGUUACUCGCAGAAGAAGCACCGGCUAACUCCGUGCCAGCAGCCGCGGUAAUACGGAGGGCGCAAGCGUUAAUCGGAAUUACUGGGCGUAAAGCGCACGCAGGCGGUCUGUCAAGUCGGAUGUGAAGUCCCCGGGCUCAACCUGGGAACUGCAUUCGAAACUGGCAGGCUAGAGUCUUGUAGAGGGGGGUAGAAUUCCAGGUGUAGCGGUGAAAUGCGUAGAGAUCUGGAGGAAUACCGGUGGCGAAGGCGGCCCCCUGGACAAAGACUGACGCUCAGGUGCGAAAGCGUGGGGAGCAAACAGAAGUAGAUACCCUGGUAGUCCACGCCGUAAAC